This 494-nucleotide ribosomal RNA is filed under the name uncultured bacterium. RNAcentral's name for it is "partial 16S ribosomal RNA". It matches the Rfam family "Bacterial small subunit ribosomal RNA", at positions 28 to 507 of the family's 1533-position model. The record is from RNAcentral.
GACGAACGCUGGCGGCGUGCUUAACACAUGCAAGUCGAACGGUGAAGCGCCUUCCUUUUUGGUGGGUGUGGAUGAGUGGCGAACGGGUGAGUAACACGUGAGUAACCUGCCCCCUUCUUCUGGAUAACCGCAUGAAAGUGUGGCUAAUACGGGAUAUUCUGGGUCUGUCGCAUGAUGGGUCUGGGAAAGAUAUUGUUUCGGUGGGGGAUGGGCUCGCGGCCUAUCAGCUUGUUGGUGGGGUGAUGGCCUACCAAGGCGGUGACGGGUAGCCGGCCUGAGAGGGUGGGCGGUCACAAUGGGACUGAGACAAGGCCCAGACUCCUAAGGGAGGCAGCAGGGGGGAAUAUUGCACAAUGGGCGCAAGCCUGAUGCAGCGACGCCGCGGGAGGGAUGGAGGCCUGCGGGUUGUGAACCUCUUUCGCCAGUGAAGCAGGCCUGCCUCGUUUGUGGGUGGGUUGACGGUAGCUGGAGAAGAAGCGCCGGCUAACUACGUG